This 70-nucleotide transfer RNA is filed under the name Loxodonta africana (African savanna elephant). It matches the Rfam family "tRNA". From Rfam's summary of the family: Transfer RNA (tRNA) molecules are approximately 80 nucleotides in length. Their secondary structure includes four short double-helical elements and three loops (D, anti-codon, and T loops). Lineage: Eukaryota; Metazoa; Chordata; Mammalia; Proboscidea; Elephantidae. The record is from Rfam by way of RNAcentral.
GCGUUGGUGAUUCAAUGGUAAAACUUUGCCUUUCAUGCGGGAGACCAGGGUUCAAUUCCCAGCCAGUGCA